This 3424-nucleotide ribosomal RNA is filed under the name human oral metagenome. Its description in RNAcentral is "bacterial LSU rRNA". It matches the Rfam family "Bacterial large subunit ribosomal RNA". The record is from RNAcentral.
CUAAGAGCGAACGGUGGAUGCCUUGGCUAGUAGAGGCGAUGAAAGACGUGCCAGACUGCGAUAAGUCUCGGGGAGCCGUCAAGGGGCUUUGAUCCGGGAAUUUCUGAAUGGGGCAACCCAAUACAUAGCGAUAUGUGUUACCAUUAAUGGGGCCAACGCGGGGAACUGAAACAUCUAAGUACCCGCAGGAAGAGAAAUCAAUAGAGAUUACGCCAGUAGCGGCGAGCGAACGCGUAAGAGGGCAAACCACUAGUUUACUAGUGGGGUUGUAGGACCGCAACAUAGACUAGGAUCUGAUAAUAGAACAAUCUGGAAAGGUUAGGCAUAGAGGGUGAUACUCCCGUAUAUGAAAUCACAUCCUUACUUAGCGGUAUCCUGAGUAGGACGGGACACGUGAAAUCCUGUCUGAAGCCGGGUCGACCACGAUCCAACCCUAAAUACUACUACUAGACCGAUAGCGUACAAGUACCGUGAGGGAAAGGUGAAAAGAACGGCGGUGAGCCGAGUGAAAUAGAACCUGAAACCGUUUGCUUACAAUCAUUCAGAGCACUAUGCUAUACUCUUUAAAAUUAAUCCAGCUUGGCUUUUUAGCCCUUUUUUAUGAAACUGCGACUGCGGCAGCCGAAUCUGGCUAGCCUUGCCUUGUUUCAUAAAAAAUCAUCUAAAAAUCCUGCGCAUUUGAAAUUCUAAAUUUUAAAUCUAAUAAAAUUCAUCAUAAAUGACACAAGUAGAAUUUUAUGGUCUAAAUUUUAGAAGUAACGAUUAGCGAUUAGUUUUAAUGAGUAUAGCAGUGUGAUGGACUGCCUUUUGCAUAAUGAGCCUGCGAGUUGUGGUGUCUGGCGAGGUUAAGGAAACCCGGAGCCGUAGCGAAAGCGAGUCUUAAUAGGGCGAUUAGUCAGAUGCUGCAGACCCGAAACGAUGUGAUCUAUCCAUGAGCAGGUUGAAGCCGGUGUAAGAGCCGGUGGAGGACCCAACCGACGGCCGUUGAAAAGGCUCCGGAUGACUUGUGGAUAGGGGUGAAAGGCCAAUCAAACAUCGUGAUAGCUGGUUCUCUCCGAAAUAUAUUGAGGUAUAGCGUCGUGUAGUAGUUAUAAGGGGUAGAGCACUGAAUGGGCUAGGGCAUACACCAAUGUACCAAACCCUAUCAAACUCCGAAUACUUAUAGCGUAACCACGGCAGUCAGGCGGCGAGUGAUAAAAUCCGUCGUCAAGAGGGAAACAACCCGGACUAACAGCUAAGGUCCCCAAAUCUCAUUUAAGUGGAAAACGAUGUGAAGUUACUGAAACAACCAGGAGGUUGGCUUAGAAGCAGCCAUCCUUUAAAGAUAGCGUAAUAGCUCACUGGUCUAGUGAUUUUGCGCGGAAAAUAUAACGGGGCUAAAAUGAGUACCGAAGCUUUAGACUUGCACUUAAUCAUUUAUACUUGGCUUGGCUUUUGAGCGUCUUUAAAUGAGCUCGUAAAAAUAAAUGCUCACGAACUAUAGUUCGCUCCGCUUUAUUUUUACGUCGUAACAUUUAAAUCCAUCUCAAAACAAGUGAAGCGCUUUUUGCGAAAGCAAAAAUGUUUCUUUGAAAAUCCUGCGCCAUCUUGAGUUCAAAUUUGAACUAAAUGUCUUAAUCUAAAAUUUUAUAAAUUUUAAAUUUCUUAGAAUUUUAAAAUUCAACGAAGUAUAAAGCAAAGAGACAAGCCUAAGAAAAGUAUAAAUCAUUAAGUGCAAGUGGUAGGAGAGCGUUCCAAUCAGCGUCGAAGCCGUACCGGUAAGGAGCGGUGGAGCGGUUGGAAGUGAGCAUGCAGGCAUGAGUAGCGAUAAAAUACGUGAGAAUCGUAUUCGCCGUAAACCCAAGGUUUCCUACGCGAUGCUCGUCAUCGUAGGGUUAGUCGGGUCCUAAGCAAAGUCCGAAAGGGGUAUGCGAUGGAAAAUCGGUUAAUAUUCCGAUACCGAUAUCAGUGUGCGACGGAAGGACGCUUAAAGUUAGUGGAGCUAGCGGAUGGAAGUGCUAGUCUAAGGAAGUAGGUUGAGUUAUAGGCAAAUCCGUAACUCUUUAUCCGAGAUCUGAAAGGCUUCUGACGCUCUUCGGAGUAGAUGAAGAAUCCAUGAUACUAUCGAGCCGAGAAAAGUUUCUAAGUUUAGCUGAUAUCGCCCGUACCGUAAACCGACACAGGUGGGUGGGAUGAGUAUUCUAAGGCGCGUGGAAGAACUCUCUUUAAGGAACUCUGCAAAAUAGCACCGUAUCUUCGGUAUAAGGUGUGCCUAGCUUCGUUAAGAAUUUACUUCGUAGGCGAAGAAGGUUACAACAAAGAGUCCCUCCCGACUGUUUACCAUAAACACAGCACUCUGCUAACUCGUAAGAGGAUGUAUAGGGUGUGACGCCUGCCCGGUGCUCGAAGGUUAAUUGAUGAUGUUAGCUUACGCAAAGCGUCUGAUCGAAGCCCGAGUAAACGGCGGCCGUAACUAUAACGGUCCUAAGGUAGCGAAAUUCCUUGUCGGUUAAAUACCGACCUGCAUGAAUGGCGUAACGAGAUGGGAGCUGUCUCAAAGAGGGAUCCAGUGAAAUUGUAGUGGAGGUGAAAAUUCCUCCUACCCGCGGCAAGACGGAAAGACCCCGUGGACCUUUACUAUAGCUUGACACUGCUACUUGGAUAAAGAUGCGCAGGAUAGGUGGGAGGCUUUGAGUCGUAGAUCUCGGUUUACGAUGAGCCAUUGUUGAGAUACCACUCUUCUUUAUUCGGGUAGCUAACUAGCCUAAGUUAUCCUUAGGUAGGACAAUGUCUGGUGGGUAGUUUGACUGGGGCGGUCGCCUCCCAAAAUGUAACGGAGGCUUACAAAGGUUGGCUCAAAGCGGUUGGAAAUCGCUUGUAGAGUAUAAAGGCAAAAGCCAGCUUAACUGCGAGACAUACACGUCGAGCAGAGACGAAAGUCGGUCUUAGUGAUCCGGUGGUUCUGUGUGGAAGGGCCAUCGCUCAAAGGAUAAAAGGUACCCCGGGGAUAACAGGCUGAUCUCCCCCAAGAGCUCACAUCGACGGGGAGGUUUGGCACCUCGAUGUCGGCUCAUCGCAUCCUGGGGCUGUAGUCGGUCCCAAGGGUUGGGCUGUUCGCCCAUUAAAGCGGUACGCGAGCUGGGUUCAGAACGUCGUGAGACAGUUCGGUCCCUAUCUGCCGUGGGCGUAAGAAGAUUGAGGAGAGUUGACCCUAGUACGAGAGGACCGGGUUGAACCGACCACUGGUGUACCGGUUGUUCUGCCAAGAGCACCGCCGGGUAGCUAAGUCGGGAUGCGAUAAGAGCUGAAAGCAUCUAAGCUCGAAGCCGACUCCAAGAUGAAUCUUCUUUUAAGAGCUCUAGUAGACUACUAGUUUGAUAGGCCGGAUGUGUAAUGGAUGAAAGUCCUUUAGCUGACCGGUACUAAUAGCUCGUUUGCUUAUCUU